UUUUGAGGCCAGCUUGCUGGGACUCCGAUUGGAGGAAGCUCCUUCGGUUUGGAUGUGAAUGGGGGAAAGGUUUUCGGGCUCGUAUGGGUUCGAAGUGGUGUGGGGUGGCAGUUGCAUGCAACAUGUGCCUUUUGCCAAUUCGGUCCUGUGCGAGCUCACAAUCCCACUCUCGGCGUAAAAGUUGGUCAUCUAUCCGACCCGUCUUGAAACACGGACCAAGGAGUUUAUCGUGUGCGCAAGUCAUUGGGUGUUGAAAACUCAAAGGCGCAAUGAAAGUAAAGAAUCCGCAAGGAUACGACGUGUGAUCUGAGCAAUCACGAUUGCCUGGAGCAACAUGGCCCCAUUCUGGUCGCUUGCGACGGGGUGGAGGAAGAGCGUCCACGGUGAGACCCGAAAGAUGGUGAACUAUUCCUGAGCAGGAGAAGCCAGAGGAAACUCCGGUCCUCCCUUGUAUAUUACCGCAGGGAAAA
This 470-nucleotide ribosomal RNA is filed under the name Pratylenchus penetrans. RNAcentral describes it as "partial 28S ribosomal RNA". It matches the Rfam family "Eukaryotic large subunit ribosomal RNA", at positions 511 to 897 of the family's 3401-position model. Lineage: Eukaryota; Metazoa; Nematoda; Chromadorea; Rhabditida; Pratylenchidae. The record is from RNAcentral.